AGCUAGUAGGUGGGGUAACGGCUCACCUAGGCGACGAUCCCUAGCUGGUCUGAGAGGAUGACCAGCCACACUGGAACUGAGACACGGUCCAGACUCCUACGGGAGGCAGCAUG
This 113-nucleotide ribosomal RNA is filed under the name uncultured bacterium. Its description in RNAcentral is "partial 16S ribosomal RNA". It matches the Rfam family "Bacterial small subunit ribosomal RNA", at positions 243 to 353 of the family's 1533-position model. The record is from RNAcentral.